Molecule: ribosomal RNA, 305 nt
Filed under: uncultured bacterium
Lineage: Bacteria
Description: bacterial SSU rRNA
Rfam family: Bacterial small subunit ribosomal RNA
Source: RNAcentral
UGUACCUACGGGGGGCAGCAGUGAGGAAUAUUGGUCAAUGGGCUUACGCCUGAACCAGCCAAGUCGCGUGAGGGAAGACUGCCCUAUGGGUUGUAAACCUCUUUUGUCGGGGAGCAAAAGACGCCACGCGUGGCGUUCCGAGAGUACCCGAAGAAAAAGCAUCGGCUAACUCCGUGCCAGCAGCCGCGGUAAUACGGAGGAUGCGAGCGUUAUCCGGAUUUAUUGGGUUUAAAGGGUGCGCAGGCGGAAGAUCAAGUCAGCGGUAAAAUUGAGAGGCUCAACCUCUUCGAGCCGUUGAAACUGGU